AUUGGGUGUCGUGGCUUUAGAAUGUAUGGUUUAGGAUAUGAUUUUCGGAGUGAUGAUUAUAAGGUAGUUACACUUUCUUAUUAUGCUACUGGUAUUGAUAAUACGCCUGAUAUUUUUAAUACUUCUGUGGCUGUGUACUCUGUGAGAAAGGGUCUUUGGAGGAGACUACUACAGAGCAAAGAGAGUCAUUGGGGGAGACUCUAUUCUAACGAUUGUGCAGUUCCUGACAGUGCUUCUGGGGUUUUGGUUAAAAGGGCUUUGUAUUGGUCGGCUCCUAACCGUUUGAGGCGGUCCCCUGAUGUGGCAAAUGGGGUUUUCGUAAGAGGGAUUUGGGAAAAUGGGGCUUUGCAUUGGUUGGCUAGUGAAGGUUCUGACUAUUCACCUGUAAUUGUUGCUUUUGAUAUACUUGAAGAGAAAUUUUUUGAGGUGCCAGGACCUACUACUGUAGAGAAGGGUACACAUGUGGUCAGUAAGCUUGUGGCUCUUAGAAGGCGUCUUUCUAUUUUGUCUGAAACAGAAGAAACGGAUACUACUUGGACAAUAACGAAUACUAUUUGGACGAUGAAAGACUAUGGGAUUGAGGAGUCUUGGACCAGAUAUGAAGUUAAAGGAUCGGAUCUCGCUGAGUUGAUACCAUUUUGUUUAAUGAGUGAGGAUGAUGUUGUACUAGAUGCAUGUGGAAGUUUGAUUGUCUACAAUAGGAGAGAGGAUCAGUGGAGAGAUAUAAUGGAUGAUAGAACUCCUAUUAUGUUGUAUGGAGCUGGAACUAGAACCUUCAGGGAGAGUCUUGUUCCUCCCACCUUCUGAGAUGAUGCUACAUACAGGUUUUAAUUUAUUUGCCACAGUAGGAGUGGAUCAUCCAGCCGACGGUCUUUCGGAAACAGCCUCUAAGGAAUUCAUCUGCUUCCGUGAACAUGUUCUGGUGCUUCUAUUGAACGGUUUCUUGUGUUUGUGCAGAGGGCCGAAUCUCUGUGUCUCUCUCGAUGCAUUUUUUGAGCAGAUCCUCGUUCUUGAGAUUUAUUUUGUUGACUGUAUAUCUCAGUUUAGUUUCUGAACAUUAGAUGAGUAGAUGAUCUGAGUAACUAUUUGCAUACUCAUUUGACAAGGGAGGGGUUUACAUUAAGGUUUAACUGUCAUGUUAAAACAGCAAGAUAGUCCUUUUUGUUGCAGUAUCAAAUUUUCCAGCUUUGCUAUGUUUUAGCUUAUCAGAUAUAACUCUGCUUAUCAUAACCGACACCUCUAAUUGUCGAUAAAUUCAAGAUCCAAGCCUUUCCUGUAGGUGAUUAAUGGAGAAUGAGGUCAAUAAGUAAAUACAGGAAAAUGUUUAUGCCCUAUAACCUGCAAUUCUGAAUAUGAACCUUUAGUUUUUGUCAAUUACUUAAAAAGAUAGCCCUGAGACAUUCAUAUUUUCUCCUACUUAUGCUUUGUAUUGUGUGAGAAAAACAACGCAUCAAUGCAAUGACUGUUAGCAAAAUGCUAUUAUUGAGUUUUUCCAAUAAUAUUGUGCGUAUUGUCUUCAGAUUCAACCAUUCUGACUAUUUUAGCCUAUUACUACAUGUUAUCUUUUUAUAAAUUUGUGCCCCUUUUCUUUAGAUAAUGCUAUUCUUCCUGUUUUAGGCUUUUAGCCAUUAAGCAGAUUAUGAAGAUCUACAUCAACUCAUUAUCCUAAAAUUAAUACAGUAUUCAUAAGCAAGGGGUCCCUUAAUCUGCUUGUUAUUUCUACCUUCUUUUGUGUCAAAAACUAUCUAAGAAUUUACCUCUUUCUAUCUACUGUAAAUCUGUAAUAAUUAAGAGAACACGUUAUAUGCUUGGUUUCCAAACUGUUUUGCAGCAAGACCCUUCAAUGAAAGAGCAUCCCGGUGCACAAAGUAUCUUGCAUUUGUGCAGGGUUCGAAAGGAUCGCACCCCUAGGAGUGUGAUGAAGACAGCCUACCCUAUUGUAAGCAUUAGUGGCUGCUUCACGGCUCGAACCGUGACCUAUGGAAAGAACUUCAUCGUUGCGCCUACGUGUAAGUUAUUUCCUACGUUAUAUGUGGCCCAAUAAGAUUAGGCCCAUAAUUAAUAUUUAAUUAAUGAGCAAAUUUCAUCCGUCCGAUCGGUUACUUGAUGGACGUACCAGAUUAAAUAAGAACCUCUAUAAAUUGGUCCUCUCCCCACCGGGUUAUCGUAUUUUUAUUCUCUCUUCCAUCACUAAAGUUGGCGGUAACGAAAGCUAGGGCAAGGGGCGAGAAACCAAUUUACCGAUUAACGCUUCCGCUUCAACAUAAUGGAUUCCGCUUCAGGUAUGUUUUCUAUGACGAUUAUAUGUAAGAUUAUCAUGUUCAAGAUCCUGGUAUGAAUUAAAAUUUAUGCUUACAUAUGGUAUCACGAGCCUGGAUUAUUUGAACUGAUAAUUUUCGCAAAAGAAAAACUAUAUCAUUAUGUUGAUCCGUACUGUUCUAAUUGGAUCUUCGAUAAUCUCGUAUCUGAUUCCAAUUCUUUUAAUUUGAGGAUACACAAUAAAGUAUGAAAUCUCUUUCGUGAAUUGCUAGUAAUAAAUUAUGCCAAAAUUUCUAUUUGAACGAAGAAAGGUCGGACUCGUUGUUUAAAGAAUUUUCGGCGUUAUGUUCCUCCCUAUAUUGUCCUGUCAUAAAUUUUGCUUUAAUGUUGCUUUAGUUAAAAUUGAUAUUGGGAAUGUAGCGUUCUCUUUAAAACAGUAACCUUCAAUAUUUGAUCUUUCUUGUAUUAGGUAUCCAUUUAAAGUCUGCCACAUAUAUUUAUGUUAUCUUAAUUUCUUCUUUUGGAUGCCUUAAGGAUAUUUUGUUCCAACGUUACUUCUAAGCCAUUAUGAAAGAUUUCCUUUAUGAAAGAUUAGUUACUGUUUAACCUUAGGCCAUAAAGAAAUUUAUUUGAUCUAUUUAAUUUAAGUAUUUGGACUAUUAAGUUGGUGAAGUCAUUUAUUAUUUAUUUUAUGUAUGUGAUUAAUGUUUAUAUAGUUUGUUAGUCACCAAAGUGAUCAAACUAGAUUAU
Molecule: RNA transcript, 3009 nt
Organism: Nicotiana attenuata
Lineage: Eukaryota; Viridiplantae; Streptophyta; Magnoliopsida; Solanales; Solanaceae
Gene name: F-box/kelch-repeat protein At3g06240-like
Exons: 3
Source: RefSeq, a predicted model, not a curated record